RNAcentral lists this ribosomal RNA (301 nucleotides) under uncultured bacterium. Its description in RNAcentral is "partial 16S ribosomal RNA". It matches the Rfam family "Bacterial small subunit ribosomal RNA", at positions 509 to 807 of the family's 1533-position model. The record is from RNAcentral.
CAGUAGCCGCGGUAAUACAGAGGGUGCAAGCGUUAAUCGGAAUUACUGGGCGUAAAGCGCGCGUAGGUGGUUCGCCAAGUUGGAUGUGAAAUCCCCGGGCUCAACCUGGGAACUGCAUCCAAAACUGGCGAGCUAGAGUAUGGUAGAGGGUGGUGGAAUUUCCUGUGUAGCGGUGAAAUGCGUAGAUAAAGGAAGGAACAUCAGUGGCGAAGGCGACCACCUGGACUGAUACUGACACUGAGGUGCGAAAGCGUGGGGAGCAAACAGGAUUAGAUACCCCGGUAGUCCCUGUCUCUUAUAC